This is a long non-coding RNA of Selaginella moellendorffii, 424 nucleotides long. RefSeq lists it as uncharacterized. The record is from RefSeq and is a predicted model, not a curated record. Lineage: Eukaryota; Viridiplantae; Streptophyta; Lycopodiopsida; Selaginellales; Selaginellaceae. The transcript has 3 exons.
CUUCUACUGAAAAAUUACUUUUUCGCCCAGUAAAUCUCAGAUUGGCCACGAGGAUGAACACUAUCAAAUCGUUUGGAAGACAAUCCGGAUGCAGUCUCAGGAAACCCCGGCUAGUGAGCUCAUGAAUUCACCUCCAUGCAGUGCAAUGAGAAUGAAGUUGGUAUGCAAAACCAACAAAAUUGAUGAAGAUGAUUUGGUCGACAGUGGUACGGUGACCGUCGGAACUGCUGAACUAGUUUUUGAAGCCACGGAACUAAUUAGCGUCGAAGGAACAAGUGAACAGGUGACUGAAAUUGUCACGGUCGAAAAGGAAGCUGAAAGCACCGUUGAUAUUAGCCUCAGAGGCUGAAAACAAUCAAACGGAGGGCAUUCAUGAAGUAGUGACAGCGUCUCACGUAACAGAGUCAUAUAGUUUCUCAUUGUU